UGGGGAAUAUUGCACAAUGGGCGCAAGCCUGAUGCAGCCAUGCCGCGUGUAUGAAGAAGGCCUUCGGGUUGUGAAGUACUUUCAGCGGGGAGGAAGGCGAUAAGGUUAAUAACCUUGUCGAUUGACGUUACCCGCAGAAGAAGCACCGGCUAACUCCGUGCCAGCAGCCGCGGUAAUACGGAGGGUGCAAGCGUUAAUCGGAAUUACUGGGCGUAAAGCGCACGCAGGCGGUCUGUCAAGUCGGAUGUGAAAUCCCCGGGCUCAACCUGGGAACUGCAUUCGAAACUGGCAGGCUAGAGUCUUGUAGAGGGGGGUAGAAUUCCAGGUGUAGCGGUGAAAUGCGUAGAGAUCUGGAGGAAUACCGGUGGCGAAGGCGGCCCCCUGGACAAAGACUGACGCUCAGGUGCGAAAGCGUGGGGAGCAAACA
This 427-nucleotide ribosomal RNA is filed under the name uncultured bacterium. RNAcentral's name for it is "partial 16S ribosomal RNA". It matches the Rfam family "Bacterial small subunit ribosomal RNA", at positions 355 to 774 of the family's 1533-position model. The record is from RNAcentral.